GAUGAACGCUGGCGGCGUGCUUAACACAUGCAAGUCGAACGUGAGAAUAGCAAUAUUUGAAAGUGGCAAACGGGUGAGUAACACGUGGGAACCUGCCUCGAAGUGGGGGAUAACGAUUGGAAACGGUCGCUAAUACCGCACGGUUCUGCUCUGAUGGGAAUGGAGCAGAUAAAGAUUUAUCGCUUUGAGAGGGCCCGCGGCCGAUUAGCUAGUUGGUAAGGUAAAGGCUUACCAAGGCGAUUAUCGGUAGCUGGUCUGAGAGGACGAUCAGCCACACGGGAACUGAGACACGGUCCCGACUCCUACGGGGGGCAGCAGUGAGGAAUAUUGGGCAAUGGGCGAAAGCCUGACCCAGCAACGCCGCGUGGAGGAUGAAGGCUUUAGGGUUGUAAACUCCUUUUGUGGGGGAAAAGAAUGGAUGGUACCCCAAGAAUAAGUCACGGCUAACUACGUG
This 454-nucleotide ribosomal RNA is filed under the name uncultured bacterium. RNAcentral describes it as "bacterial SSU rRNA". It matches the Rfam family "Bacterial small subunit ribosomal RNA", at positions 28 to 507 of the family's 1533-position model. The record is from RNAcentral.